AGCUACUAAACCGAUAAAGCACAAUCAGCUCCCCUUGCUAGGAAGUGACAAAUGCGCCUUAGGGCACGGUAUCGAUGAUGUGCGGAUCACGGUCUCUAACGGCGCACAGCGGGGCCAUUAUCGUGUGUUGUCACCGCGUGCCAUUAAAAGGACUUUAAUCUGCCGAUCGCCGCCGCGAUACGCGGCUCCUGCCAGGGAUCUACCGACUAACAGGCCGGGACGCUGCGAAACCCCCCAGCCCCCAGGGUCGCCUGAAAAACACGGCCCGGCUCCCCCGUCAGUCAAUCGCGGCAACUCAAUUAAUGCAUCUGGGUCAGGAAAAUGGUUUGCGGGAGCCUGAGCCCGGUUACGAAACGCGGAUACCGCGGCGGGUACCGCGGGCGGCGGCGGAGGGCAGCACCCGCUGAGCCCAGUUCUGAAUAACAGCACCACAUUCUGUCCUAGUGUCCCUGGAAUACCUGGGCAUUUUCUUAAGAUUUCUCCUACAUCUGCCCUGAAGUAAAUGCAAGCAGAACUGAGGAAUCUCAGCCUCUUCUCCAGUGCUGGCAGAAGUUGCCUCUUGUCAUUGCAGGUCUGGUAAGAGACUGGUCAGCCUGGCCACCUGCAAGGCUCUGCCCAGCCCUUUACCUCGUCUCUGACAGCAGCCACUGGUAGGUAUGUGGGGAGGGACCCUAACAAACCUCUUGCCUGGGGUGCUCCUAGUCCACUGACCCAGCUGCAGACACUGGAUUAUGUGUGUCAGCCAUAAGAGCCCUGAAGCAACACUGUUCCCCUCCUUUUGGCAGAGACCACUCCAAAGAGUUACAGUUUGCAAACAGUAUUGAAAAAGUAUCAUGCAGCUAUUUAAGCGGAAUGGGAAUCCUGAAUGUCCUCACCUUAUGGACAGAGGGAUGGGGAAAGCUCAAGUGUGAGGGAGGUGGACUGUGGCCAACAUGGAUGCUGCUGAGGGAGGUCACUGUGUGGAACUUCUGCUGCAGUGGAAAGGGAUGUUGUGUUAGCGUGACACAACAGCAUAGGACGAGGCAAAGCGCUGUAGGAUGAGGGUCACAUCAGGACCUGCUAAUUCUGCUACUAACCUUGGGGUACAACUGGCAGGACCUGAUUCUCAGUGGGAGGAUGAAAGAAAUGGGAGGAUAUUCUGGGAUACCCAGAGCAAUCUUUACUUUACACGGUACAGAGGACAAGGGACAAUGCGAAGAACGCCACAGAGGCCACAGUCAGACCAAGAGCUCUUUGAUAAAUAGCCACACUCAGGGUGGAAAACUGAGACCAUGCACACAGUGAAAGGAAUUUGAGGUACACGGCAUGAAUUUUGAGCCAAUGUGUUUUCUAUAGGUUUCCUUCUCCUCCUCUAAACAGUGGCUCUUCACUUCUUCAGAAAACAAGAUGAUUGAUUUUUAAAGCUGCCAUGCAAUUUACUAUAGCGAGUUAGUGAUAGAAGGAGAAAAAAUUACAACACAUUAGUGUUUUGGCAAGUAGAAUUAGACUGUAUAAAGCAAUAACAUUAGAAAAACCAAUUAAUUGCAGAUAAAGUCUAUGACAACAAGUCUUCAAACAACCAGAGAAUACAAGGCUGGUACUUAGAGCACAUCUUGUGCCCACCUCAGUGCCACUGCAGGCAGAGGUCUUGAUUUUUAAGGAUAGCCUGUUGCAUGUUUUACACAAGUAUCUGUUACAUGAGCACAUUAAAGAUCUAGCUCCAGCUUAGAUGCCCUUUUUCUGGAGCAGAUGUGAUGCUUCCUGUGAUGGUGGGAAAUGGAGUGGAUGUGAACUGCUCACUCAGAUACUGCUUGUUUCUUGGAUGAGCAGCUUUUCUUCCCUCACAGAGGAUUUUUCUGCUUUGCACCCACAUCCCUUCCUUCAGGAGGAGCAAACUUAGCACUGUUUCCUGGAGACACCCAUUGCUGGUCUCUCUCAAGUUCCUUCAGUUAGAAGCCUUGUGUCCUCCACAAACACACAACAAUUUCCUAAGCCAUUGGGUGAUGAGCCAUGUUCCUCUAAGCAGAGGAGCAGCAAAUGCUUGUGGACUCUGUGUCAGGCUUACUAGCUGUAACAAGCACUACCUGUCAGGCCCCUAACACACCCUCCUAUCCUUCCCAGGCUCUUGAAUGCCUGGGCUCGGGGCCAGCUUAGGUAAGGGUUGCAGGUGUCACAUCUUGAAUCAAAGGUUUGAGAAAACACUGUGAGAAGUCUUGGUGGGAAUGGCCACUCUUCCCUGAGCUUUUAAGCUGAGCACUCUACCUGUGCUCUUUGCCUAAACUACCUCUGUAGCUACAUCACAGACAUGCCUGUGCCCAUUCCUGUGCUCCAGGCUGACCAUCCACCCGAGAUGGACUCAGCCCAAGAAAUGCAAGAAGCAUACAGAGCUUGUUCACAAAUCCUCCCUGGCACUGGAAACAAAGCACCAUACGCUCGAGCAGCCAGAGCAAAAGGAUGCAUCCAAGGCAAAGGGAGUCAAGAACAGAAGGGCAAGGGAGGUACACAGGGAAGGCACCAGGACAUCUUUUUCAUGAUUCCCCUCCUCCUCCUUAUGGCCACUGGUGGGUAACACCAGGGGGUGCCUCUCUGACUUCACUUUCUGACAUCCUGCCCCUAAGGUGGCUCUUUAUGGGCAGCUUCCCCUCUCUUACUGUUUUUGGACAUCAUCACUUUUCUCCUCUUUACCUUAGGUUUUCCCAACCCCUUGCUGUGUUAGCUGCCUGCCCAGCCCAGUGUGCAGGUGAAACCAACAGCUGUAUCAGCAACAAGCAUUGGGAGCGAGAUCCUGUACGUGUGCCAUUGUCCCCAGAACAGAGCAUGGCAGGCAAGCCCCCACCCCUCUGUCACUGAUGCAUAAGUCACAAAGGUCACCUGCAUCACUGGUCUGUCACACUGGGUGUGCUGGCUCAGACUGUAGAUAUUCAGAGUUUUAAUUAACAUGGAAACAAGUAGGGCUUUCUUUUUUGAACAUGUAUAGUUGAGGCUGAUAAAGUUUUGUGUCAGUUUAUUAUUUUGUGUGAGCUUAUUGCCUUUGAGAUGUGUGAUUUCCAACAGGUAUACUCGAGUCUGAUAAAGUUUUGUAUCAGUUUAUUGCCUUUAAAAUGUAUGAUUUUCAUGUUUGUCCUGAAUUGUAUCUGUUAACAUUUCUUCUGUUCCUGGAUAACCAACAGAAAAAUGCUUGUAUUAGGAACAGAGAUAAAUGGUUUAUUGACUCAUUUGAAAUAUCUUUUUUUUAUGAUAUAAAGUCACUUAUACUCAAUAUUCAAUCUCAUAUGGCAAAAGAAAACAUAAAAAAGGGACAGCAUAAACAUCAGCACUACAACACAUCAUGAAAAUUAUCUCCGAAGAACCCCCUACACUCUCCAGCUCCUCAUAGGGCUUCUGACCUGGUCAAGAGUCAUAGAUCUGUACUGGAACAUCCCAUGUCUUCCUACCAUCAUGCUCACCUCAUGGAUGAGGGAUGCAAAGCAUGCCUUCAGUCCCUGGGAAUCACUACAGGUGUCCCAGUGACACUUGUGUUGAAUUUCCACUCUGGGGCAGAAGAAUUCAGCAAGUCUCUUAUUCGUAGCUUUGAUGCCUGAGAAUCUACAGGAUUUGGAAAAUGAAGUCUCUCUGACUCUUCCCUUUUUCAAUUUCAGUGUUUUCCUUCCACCUUGCAUUUUGUAGUCCUCUCUGAGGCCCAACCCAGCCUGCAGACCUGUGCAGGAUCUUUUAUCCCACAGACCACCUUUGGGGAGGUUGUCACGUGGCAGUUGCACAAUGAGCAGGACAAAAUAGUCACACAGGGAGUGCACUACGGAUGUGGUACCGUACAGAAAGACCUCACCAUUUCCAUGCAGGAAUAAAAGAACCAGGUACACCUUUCUAGUUUUGAUGCAGGAUUCGGUUUUUAGCACCUGGAUAACAUUACUGACCUCCAGAGCAUUGCUGUAGACUGUGAAGCAGUACCAAAUAAAAUGCAAAGUUCUACAUUUACUUUCUCCUGAAGAUUUUUCUGUCAAACUGGGUCAACUUCUAAGUAAAGCAAGAGAGCAUUUUAAUCUGUCAGCACUUCAAAACCAGACUGGUACUUGAAAAUUACUUCUGGGCUUAAAAAUGUUAUGGACUCUGAAUUUGGAAGGCAGUAUUGUUGGUGCAUAAGAUCUAAUGGUAUAUAAUUCAAAACCUGAUCUUUUCUGAUCUUAGCUGACAAUUAUUUUAGCGAAUGUUUGCUUUGAUGAGGUUUGGGGGUGAUAUGAGCAAGUGAAAACUCCAUGAAGAUAUCUUAGCUAACACUGAAAAUGAAAAACUAAACCAACAUCCCCCCAGUUUUUUAAUCAGUAGUGUUUGCCACCUUUAAAAAAAUACAGUAUAUUAUAGGCGUGGAAGCAGAUCAUAAAACUGCUCUGCCCAGAUCUGCAGGGGAAUCAAACAGAUGGCAGAUCCCACUGCAGUUUGGAUGAAGAUUUCAUAGCUAGAUAAUCAAGAAAAUAGUAAAGUGGUUUCAAAGUCAGCGAUGAGGUGAAAAACAGAUUUUCUUCAGCUAGGAGCAUCUACAGCCUUUCUCACACAUUUAGAGGCAAUGCACCAAACUCAGAAAUUCCUUCACUACCAAGAGCAAAAGCCCUCAGUGUAAGAAUAUAUUGCUACAGGGGAAAAUUUUCUUGGUCAACUAGCUUUUUUAAAAUUAAAAUUAAAACUAUUAUUUUCAAAUAGUUGUGCAUGACUAUUUAUGUGACUGUAUGUAAGUAUGUUUUUUUAAAUUCAAUUAAACCUACAGGUGGUCAUACACCAGAUUGUAAAUAAUAUUAAUUAUCAAUUUUGGCAACCAAAAUUAUUUUCAAAUAAUGAUUAUUGUUAUUGAAUUUGUUCUGAGACCAACAUGCAUGUAGAGCUGUUGGCAGAUGAUUCUUUUCCUCUGUGCUUGUGUCUUUUAUGCCCUCACAAAUCCCUGAAUUACGAAGUUAUAGCUUUAAAUGGAAAAUAUCCUCCCUGAU
Molecule: long non-coding RNA, 4955 nt
Organism: Corapipo altera (White-ruffed manakin)
Lineage: Eukaryota; Metazoa; Chordata; Aves; Passeriformes; Pipridae
Exons: 5
Source: RefSeq, a predicted model, not a curated record